This 434-nucleotide ribosomal RNA is filed under the name uncultured Clostridium sp. Its description in RNAcentral is "partial 16S ribosomal RNA". It matches the Rfam family "Bacterial small subunit ribosomal RNA", at positions 341 to 792 of the family's 1533-position model. Lineage: Bacteria; Bacillati; Bacillota; Clostridia; Eubacteriales; Clostridiaceae. The record is from RNAcentral.
ACGGAAGGCAGCAGUGGGGAAUAUUGCACAAUGGGGGAAACCCUGAUGCAGCAACGCCGCGUGAGUGAAGAAGUAUUUCGGUAUGUAAAGCUCUAUCAGCAGGGAAGAAAAUGACGGUACCUGACUAAGAAGCCCCGGCUAACUACGUGCCAGCAGCCGCGGUACUACGUAUGGAGCAAGCGUUAUCCGGAUUUACUGGGUGUAAAGGGAGCGUAGACGGCGAAACAAGUCUGAAGUGAAAUCCCGGGGCUCAACCCCGGAACUGCUUUGGAAACUGUUUUGCUAGAGUGCAGGAGAGGUAAGCGGAAUUCCUAGCGUAGCGGUGAAAUGCGUAGAUAUUAGGAGGAACACCAGUGGCGAAGGCGGCUUACUGGACUGUAACUGACGUUGAGGCUCGAAAGCGUGGGGAGCAAACAGGAUUAGAUACCCUGGUA